Molecule: ribosomal RNA, 584 nt
Filed under: uncultured bacterium
Lineage: Bacteria
Description: partial 16S ribosomal RNA
Rfam family: Bacterial small subunit ribosomal RNA
Source: RNAcentral
UGGGGAAUUUUGGACAAUGGGCGAAAGCCUGAUCCAGCAAUGCCGCGUGUGUGAAGAAGGCCUUCGGGUUGUAAAGCACUUUUGUCCGGAAAGAAAUCCUUGGCUCUAAUACAGUCGGGGGAUGACGGUACCGGAAGAAUAAGCACCGGCUAACUACGUGCCAGCAGCCGCGGUAAUACGUAGGGUGCAAGCGUUAAUCGGAAUUACUGGGCGUAAAGCGUGCGCAGGCGGUUUGCUAAGACCAAUGUGAAAUCCCCGGGCUCAACCUGGGAACUGCAUUGGUGACUGGCAGGCUAGAGUAUGGCAGAGGGGGGUAGAAUUCCACGUGUAGCAGUGAAAUGCGUAGAGAUGUGGAGGAAUACCGAUGGCGAAGGCAGCCCCCUGGGCCAAUACUGACGCUCAUGCACGAAAGCGUGGGGAGCAAACAGGAUUAGAUACCCUGGUAGUCCACGCCCUAAACGAUGUCGACUAGUUGUUGGGGAUUCAUUCCUUAGUAACGUAGCUAACGCGUGAAGUUGACCGCCUGGGGAGUACGGUCGCAAGAUUAAAACUUAAAGGAAUUGACGGGGUCAUAGCUGUUUCCU